Long non-coding RNA from Apis mellifera (honey bee), 1256 nucleotides. RefSeq lists it as uncharacterized. The record is from RefSeq and is a predicted model, not a curated record. The transcript is spliced from 3 exons. Lineage: Eukaryota; Metazoa; Arthropoda; Insecta; Hymenoptera; Apidae.
UUAGUCGAUGUAAAUUUUUAACAAUUUCAUUUCUUUCGAUUUUCAAUGAGUCACUUUAAUAAUUAAUCGAAACUUGAUAUCUCAAUCUCUUACCUAUUACCUAUUUAUAACUUUUUAAUGGAAGAACAAUUGAAAGUUUCUCGAAGCUAAGCACAUUUCUGCUGCAUCGUGUCAGUCGAUAGUCGAGUACAAAGUUAUUAUGCUAAUAUCAAAACGUAUGGCCACAGUGAAUGCUUAUUAACAGUGACAAAUUUGAGUUUACAAUUUGAAGUAAUGACUUUAGCAAACAUCUUCCCUUACUUUUCAAAAUAAACGAAUCGAAUAGAAUUGAAUUUGCAAAUCAUGGAAAAUUUUCGAAUUUGAUUAAUAUAUUGAUUAAAGACAUUCACAUAAAAGUGUUGAUACUCGUCCAAGCGAUGGUCCUCGUUAAAAGUACUUCUCGUAACCGAUCGAUAUCGAGUGAUAGGAUUUUCUUGAAUUGUUUAACGUUAUGGCAUGGUAACCGACACAAACAAUGUUGAUUUUAACGAUCGGUGAAGAAAAAUCGUGAAAUCGGAAGAAUGAUAUCGGUGUACACAUAAAUUUGUGAUUUCGAUUCGAUUUAGAACAAUGGAAUAUCUAUCUACGAAGUGGAAUUUGAAUUGUACAAUGAUUCGGUGAUCGUGCAAUUAGGCAGUUUUCAACAGUCAAAGUGGCAGCCAUCAACAAUCUCCUUCUCUGCGCGAUCCUCGAGAGAUAUAAGAAGGCAACGUUGGAAGAAUUGUCGCGGUUUGAGAAUACGUUUUACACGAUGAACGAACCAGAUCCUUGUCUACCAUUGAUUCUACCACCUAGAUACAGGCUUCGUGAUCUCAUACUCGGGGAUUACGCUUUCAACGACGAUGGGGAACGUUUCUUCGAAUCGGAACGAAUGCCUCGAUAAUUCAGAUUCUUAUGUCGUGAAUCGAAUUGAACGCCCAUUGUUGCCAUUUGGAAUUUCGAUUCGUGGAGAGAGAGAUUCGAAGGACGAAAAUUAUAGUAUCGAAUUUAAGGUGGAUAUCCAACGAAUUCUUAAUACCAAUAUAAUUAAUCGUAUUGAAAAUUAAAUAAUUGUACGUCAAAUUGUUAUAUAUAGUAAUUCGUAAAUUAAUAAUAAUUGUAAUGAAAAUUGUAGGUCCAAUGGGAAAAAUUUUAGGCAAUGUGCAAAUUAUUAUUAACAUAUAAUUCGUGAAUUAAUCGUAAUAAAAAUUAGAAAAUUGUACAUCGAGUGGCAAAUA